Molecule: long non-coding RNA, 1315 nt
Organism: Leopardus geoffroyi (Geoffroy's cat)
Lineage: Eukaryota; Metazoa; Chordata; Mammalia; Carnivora; Felidae
Exons: 2
Source: RefSeq, a predicted model, not a curated record
AGACCUAGCAAAACUCAGGCAAAAACCUUAGGUAAAACUGCUGAAGUUUCUGUGAAAUCAAGUAAGAACAGCAGAAAAUACACAGAGACGCUUAUUCUAUCCAGCACAGUAAGUCGCCCAGUUCAAAUGUGCCCUGAUCCAUAAUACCUUUCGUGGCUCUACUGGCUCAUAUUAAUCUCACCCACCUCAGAUUUUCCAGAUCAUCUAUGGCACCUUCACCACAGCAUUUAUCACAUUUGACCUUGAACCACAGUGAAUUCUUUACGCUGCUCAUUCACACCACGUAUUUUAAGUUCUUUGGGGAAAUCCCUUGUGUUUCCAAGAGCACAGCACUAUGCAAGGAACUGGCUUAGGGCCACCAGCUUGCAACUUCUAACACUGGGUUUUUACCAACCUGCAGUAGGUCUUUAUGCACUAACAGAGUCGCUACACCUGUAUCCAUUAAAAAUGGCAAUCUCUUGAAGGGACAUAUAAGAAUACUGCAUUUGAGAUGUCUGUCUAUAAAACACAGGAACAGAAGAACCGUAAGUUAGAACCAAAGUGUCCAGCCCACUUUCAUCUGUGACUAUUCUAUGGGAUCAGAUCUCAGGACUGAAGGAUAUCCUAAAGUGGCUCUGUGCUGGCAGUAAGCUUGCUUCAUGUGGUUGUCCAGCCACUUAACUGCUUCCUUCAGACAGACAAGCAACGGCAGGCAUCUCAGUGGGCCGGCAGAGUGUCCAAUCCAGUUCGAUUCAAUUAAUGUUUAUGCACUACCUUCCAUAUACCAUGGUGCUACACAGUCUCCACCCUACAGUGGGGAAGUCAGGCAAGUAAACAAAUGACAACACAGAACAGUGUGUGACAUUCUGAGAAGGAAGUAUGCCAAGGGUAGCUUAUAGGGAAAUGGAAAUAAGGGUGGUUUUGCAGAAGAGGAGAUACUUGAGCAGAGCCUUAAAGCGUAGAAGGAAUCGGCCGGACAGAAGAAACAAAGAGGCAACACCCAAACUCAAGGUCUUUCAAGUAGUCCCAGCAAACGGCCAAUGCACGUACUGUGAGUGGCUGGAGCUCCAAAGUGAAAGAAUGGUGGCUGCAAGCAUGGAGAGUUUCUCCAGGAUCUUGAACUUGACUGUUGAGAGAAAACAACUUUGGGCUAUAUGGGUCUCCUCCUGUAUUAAUUCUCAGGAGGUCAAAGACUCUCAGAGCAGCACCAAGUCAGGAAAGGGCCUUCUCCAUCACUGACUAUAAAGAGAGAGCAAUGGCAAUGAACAUGAAGGGUAAGAGAGGUUCUGAGCAAUCUUCCAACCAAUUUCACUAAAUCAUUAAGGUGUAAACAACA